UACGAGGAUUCCCAUAGUAACGGCGAGUGAAAGGGGAAGAGCCCAGCGCUGAAUCCAUCGAUCACUGGUCGCUUGGAAUUGUAGCGUAUAGGUGCGGCUAUCCGCUCGUUUCGUGCACCCAAAGUCCCCUUGAGCGGGGCCAUAGUCCAAAGAAGGUGCUAGACCUGUACGGGUGGCGAGGCGGUCGGUUGGUCGCUCCUUGGAGUCGGGUUGCCUGGGAUCGCAGCCCAAAGUUGGUGGUAGACCUCAUCUAAGGCUAAAUAUGGCCACGAAACCGAUAGCAAACAAGUACCGUGAGGGAAAGUUGCAAAGAACUUUGAAGAGAGAGUUCAAGAGGGCGUGAAACCGCCGAGAUUGAAACGGAUAGAGUUGACGAAACUCGAUCGCAUUCAUCCGAUCCGCCUAGCGGUUCGGCGGUUGUUGACUUCCUCGAUGAGGGCAACGCCGUCGCUGGCUGUUGGGUGUUAGAUUGGUGUAUUUGCGGUCGGUAUGCGCCGAGAGCUUUGCGAGCGCAUGUUGACGUUGAUGUAGUGGACCACUCCCUCCGGGCGUGGAACCCUGCAUUGAUUGAGGCAUGUCGUUCGUAGGGUGUUGCUGGGUGACGUCUCCGCUAUGGUGGGUCGGCUUUGUUGGGCUGUUGCGGUUGCUGGGUGAUCGCAUGCGAGCGCCUGCAGCUUGCGAUGGUACGAUGAGGUGCGGACGCGCUUGAGACGUGCAUCUCGGUGUGAACGUUGACCACCUAUCCGACC
Molecule: ribosomal RNA, 749 nt
Filed under: Pseudoterranova decipiens (codworm)
Lineage: Eukaryota; Metazoa; Nematoda; Chromadorea; Rhabditida; Anisakidae
Description: LSU rRNA
Rfam family: Eukaryotic large subunit ribosomal RNA
Source: RNAcentral